AAUCCUGCCUUAAGAUGGCCACUGCAUUUGUUCACAUAUAUCGCGGCAGCUAGUACAGUUAAAUAAUGCACACUGCUGGCCAAUGUGGUAGCCUCUGUGAUGUGUUGGAUGUGACUGUACAGCCCCGGAAGCAGUGGCAUCAAUAUUGCCGGCUAUCCUGUGAUUUCAUUCACAGUUUAACACAACGAACUAACGAAAUGAAUUCGACACAGUGAGAAUGGAUUGAGGAGACGUGAGAGACCUGCUGUGCCAGGCCCAGAAAGGACACCGAAAAAUGGUUCUCGAGGAUAUCACAUGGCCAUGAUCUCUGCGAUGUUUGUGUAACCUCCAACCCAACGCAUAUCAGUUGAAGAAUAGAACAAAAGAUGGGUCCGAUGCAGUUAUUUCCUAUGCUGAGAUAAAGGAAAUACAGCCCCUCCAUCCUGUGACACACGUCCAACUGUAUCUCUGCAUGCCUCCAUCCAGACACAUCCUCUGUGGAAACUCGGUGUAGAUGUUUGUGUGUGUUGUACAGCUGUGGUUAUACAUUUAUAUACAUAUUCAGAUUUCAGGUAAAGUUAAGAUAAACACAAAAGGCACCGAUUUGCAGUUAAACUUAAUUUGACUUUAAUUUCAACUUUGUUUCAGUACGUUUUGAACAACUUGCUGUUCGCUAAGAAGAAGCUGAAAGGCAUACCGUAAUUCAUAACGGGUGUUUGAUCAAGUCCUUCCAUGUAUGUCUUUCUGUGACUCCUCCAGUCUCUUUGUAUCCCUGUCUAAUUUUUAUUUUUCACUAAUGAAGGGUUCGGUGAACGUACACAUGAACUGGUUGGGUUGGGUACCUCUAACAAGGUUAAGAACCACGGAUCUGAAUACUUAAUAAAACGCAUGCACGUAA
This is a long non-coding RNA of Hippocampus zosterae (dwarf seahorse), 877 nucleotides long. RefSeq lists it as uncharacterized. The transcript has 2 exons. NCBI's taxonomy places the organism in Eukaryota, Metazoa, Chordata, Actinopteri, Syngnathiformes, Syngnathidae. The record is from RefSeq and is a predicted model, not a curated record.